RNAcentral lists this long non-coding RNA (627 nucleotides) under Homo sapiens (human). RNAcentral describes it as "non-protein coding lnc-DTNBP1-16:8". Lineage: Eukaryota; Metazoa; Chordata; Mammalia; Primates; Hominidae. The record is from RNAcentral.
CCCACUCUGUUAUCCCUGGAGUUGGCUUGGAUUCACCCUGAAGCCUUCCCCCUCCCGGGGAAAGUUGCUUCACGUUGCAGCUCAGCAGGUUUGUCCAGCUACAUAGGCUCCAGAAAACAAGAAGCAAGACUGGAAAGCUGGGGAUGAUUGUACGCCCUCGCCUGAAUCUUACGUGGUUCCUCCUUCUUCCACCUGGCCAGUGCAGAGCCGUGGGUGCCACGUGGCCACUUCUGGAUUGGGUUCCCCUUGGCCUGCCACCCUGUCCUUCUGCUUUCCCACUUUGCCAGCCAGAGUCAAUUUGAGGACGCCAAGUUCUCCUCUCCAUACAGAGCUCCUGGUCUCCUUGUAACUUGUAACUCCUGGGCACAGUUACAAGUGCUGAAUUCUUGCGAGGAUGAACUCAAGAUACAAAAUAUGCUUGGCAACUCACCCCUGAGUGGCCACAGGCACACGCAGGAGUCGAACCCACCCACCUCUGCUGACAGUCAUGGGUCAAGCUCAAAGUCCUGGCUGCUUCUCUGCUCAAGAUAGUGUCUCACUAUGUUGCCCAGGUUGGAUUCGAACUCCUGUGCUCAAAUGAUCUUCCCCUACCUCCAGGAAAUUGCCACAGCCUCCGUAACCUUCAGC